ACCAGGUGCAAAACCUGAGCAUGCACAGUACCGUUGUUCACCACUGGGGGCGCCCUACAGAAAUGGACUUCGAAGUAGUUUGAAUCACCCUUCCAGAUGCUUACUGUACCCGAACUCAUUGAACAGGAGACUGGGUUUCCUGAGAGAGAAAGCAAGCUUGUUGCUGUCCAAACAAAGCUGGAAGACCCCUGCCCCAGCAUCUGGUGACUUGGAAGGAAGGCAGGCCCUGGCCAAGCCUACCUCCAACACUUCUUUCUCCCUCCGGACCAGCAUGGCAGGCACAGAAGAAAGGGAGGUUGGUUUAUGUCAUCCCUGAGGUCAUCACAGAUGAAUAAAGCAUGAAGCUCAAAUGUCA
Molecule: small RNA, 355 nt
Filed under: Rattus norvegicus (Norway rat)
Lineage: Eukaryota; Metazoa; Chordata; Mammalia; Rodentia; Muridae
Description: uncharacterized LOC102549483
Source: RNAcentral